CCUCCACGGCCCUUGGCGGCUGAGGCCUGUUUCAGUCACCAGGUGGCAGCACCUCGGCCCAGGCCGGCCCUCUCCAUUCACGGCUCUUGCCGGGCCUUCGGCCUCCGCUGUCACCCGGAUCAGAGUGGAAGCCCAUGUUUUUCCCACUCUGACUUGGACCCGAUCCAUGAUGGCCUGAGUUGAUCUGAGGCUCGGACUCUGCAGAGAUCUGGCUCAGUGCCUCACAGGAUCCUUUCCAGUCCUAUGUUCCUCUGUUUCACCAUGCCUCUUGCAUGUAGAAAGGGCAAGCAGAGGCUCUGCAGCCAGACCAAAGGAUGUGCUGCAAUCUACGACCCACUAGAGGAAGACUCUUGCAAAAUGAAGAAUGCAGAGAGACUGCAAUAGGCGUGACAGGGAUCAGAGAACAAUGAAGAAGUAAUGUCAAGUGUUGUCCAACUACAAAAAUCAUGAAAUUGGCUUAAGAAUCAUGAGAGCAAAAGUAAUGAAAAAUAUGAGUUCUUUUUCUUUGCUUCUGUGCUUUUAAGGGUCACAUUUUCAGACUUUUGC
Molecule: long non-coding RNA, 546 nt
Filed under: Crocodylus porosus (Australian saltwater crocodile)
Lineage: Eukaryota; Metazoa; Chordata; Crocodylia; Crocodylidae
Description: lncRNA (ENSCPRG00005008251.1)
Source: RNAcentral